CAUCACACCGGCACAGGCACUGGGGCUGUGGGAGCAGCGAGGACUUGGCAGGGAAAGCGAGCAGCAAAGGAGUGACCGUCCUCCUCAGCAGCUCAUUGGGGUGCUACGUGGGGUGCAGAAAAACAUGCUUGGCAGCAGCUCCUGGCUUGGAGAGAGUAAACGUGUCUGAAAGUGUCCAAAUCUGUCUGCAUAGCAGGGGGAGAAUGAAAGUGAAGUUUUCUCCUUCAACAGAACCCCGGAGAUGGCUUGACUUGGUGACUCUUCAGAGGUAGACAACUGUGUAUGCUGGUGGCCUUCCCCUGCAGGAGUGGAAGGGGAGGAAGAAGACGGGAACAGGGCUGCUAAGGAGACACAGGAAGGUGCCAGGCUCUUUCUCAGGAGUGGUCAUACAAUGUGUGGCUUUCCUGGCACUUCUCAUCCUGCCUUUGCAAGUGGGGUCAAGCCUCUGCAUUUCUUUACCUGUAAUUUUUUGCUGUGGUUCACAAUACCUUGUCAGAAAAACCUGUACUAAUUUUUCACAUGUCUGGACUACAUGUUCCUGCC
Serinus canaria (Common canary) is the source of this 543-nucleotide long non-coding RNA. RefSeq lists it as uncharacterized. NCBI's taxonomy places the organism in Eukaryota, Metazoa, Chordata, Aves, Passeriformes, Fringillidae. The transcript is spliced from 4 exons. The record is from RefSeq and is a predicted model, not a curated record.